This 406-nucleotide ribosomal RNA is filed under the name uncultured bacterium. RNAcentral's name for it is "partial 16S ribosomal RNA". It matches the Rfam family "Bacterial small subunit ribosomal RNA", at positions 30 to 526 of the family's 1533-position model. The record is from RNAcentral.
AUUGAACGCUGGCGGCAGGCCUAACACAUGCAAGUCGAGCGAGCGGCGGACGGGUGAGUAAUGUCUGGGAAACUGCCUGAUGGGGGGGGAGAACUACUGGAAACGGUGGCUCAUACCGCAUACCAUAAGAUGUGUCCAGAUGGGAUUAGCUAGUAGGGGGGGUAAAGGCUCACCUAGGCGAUGAUCCCUAGCUGGUCUGAGAGGAUGACCAGCCACACGGGAACUGAGACACGGUCCAGACUCCUACGGGAGGCAGCAGUGGGGAAUAUUGCACAAUGGGCGCAAGCCUGAUGCAGCCAUGCCGCGUGUAUGAAGAAGGCCUUCGGGUUGUAAAGUACUUUCAGCGGGGAGGCGUUACCCGCAGAAGAAGCACCGGCUAACUCCGUGCCAGCAGCCGCGGUAAUUC